Long non-coding RNA from Brassica napus (rape), 2369 nucleotides. RefSeq lists it as uncharacterized. The transcript is spliced from 4 exons. The record is from RefSeq and is a predicted model, not a curated record. NCBI's taxonomy places the organism in Eukaryota, Viridiplantae, Streptophyta, Magnoliopsida, Brassicales, Brassicaceae.
UCUAUGUAUUUUGUUUUCAAAGAUAAAAAAAUGUAGUUUUAUAAAAUCUUUGAAAAGCAUGAUUAGAAAAUAUAUAUACUUUAGAAAAAAAAAUCUGAAGAAAAAUUCUACCGAAUUUCUAAAACACUUACCAAUCAUCAUCAUUGUCACUAUUUUUAAAAUUUAUCGGUUAUGUUUUUAUGCAACUUCGUACCGAUCAUCACUUUUAUUUUUCUAAUUUUAUUUUUGAAAAUUAGCAUAUACCAAAUUAUUUUUAAGAAAACAUCCAAGAUUCCAACUUUAUCUCAGUAUUUAUCUUAAUAUUAUAUGUUAUCCAUAUAUAAUUUUAGGAUGAGUUAUUACACAUCUAAGACCAAACUAAUAUAAUUAAUACAGUUGAUUCAAUUUGGAUGAAUGAGAUUAAAAUAGUUAUACUUUAAUUUGAAAGAAUAUAUGUAACAUAAUAUACUCACAAAAUGAGUAACUAAACUAAUCAAUUCUUUUAUCUAAACUAAAAAAUUUAACUAAGAAUAAUAUAUUAUUAUUUGUAGUAAUAUAUUUAUACAUAUAAAUUAUAGAACAACUUAACAUAUCAAUAAAUAAAUAUGAAAUUUUCAAAUAAUAUGAUAGAAAUAUUAAUAUCUAUCUAUCUAUCUAUCUAUAAUAAUAAAGUAGACUGUAGUAUCUCCGGAAUGCGCCACGUCAUCAGGAAGAAGUGGGCGUUUUACGCCACGUGUCCUCCUGCUUUGUUUCGAACUUUCGAUGAUGCAACGAUGAAUUAUUCUAAUGGGCCAUACUUCUCUUAUAAAAGUGAGCCCAACAUAUUAUCGUGUUCUUAUAACUUUCUUUGAAGGCUGGUACAAUGAUUUUUUACCAUAAGCAAUAUUCUUUUUGUUAAAAAAGGUUUUCUCUCUUCGUUAACAACGUAGCUGCGUUCUAUCACCGUGACUCUUGGGAUUUCAAAACCUCAGACCAACGCCUCUGUAACGUCUUCAGAUUUUGCCUAUACAUUUAUCCAAGCAUUAACGUUGUUCCUACCACUCCUACCAGCAUUAAGUCGGCCUUAUCAUCCACCAAGGUAGCCGUUCAAAACACCAAAAAGUGUUCUUCCCCUGCGAGGACAGACGCACUGCAACGAAAUCCAAAGGUCAAUCACAAUCAAGCAACAACUCUGUCAAUGGCGAAAUCUUACACUUUUUUUGCCGAUUCGAAGGCUGGUCGCUGCUCAAACACGGUGGAUUAAUACAAAGGUUACAACUCCGAAAUCUGUUUAUUUGUUCUGUUUAUUCUCUAAGCAGCUUUGAUGUUACAUUGAGCCAAAAAAAACUUGCGACUCUCGGAUACGUCGUUAAUCACAGAUUCGAUAAAGUCAAUACAAACUGAAAUAUUUUGAUUCCUUGACUACGAUGGCAAAUACCGACAAACAGUUACCUGAUAUACUUGGUGAGCUUUUUGCAAUCAGGAACACAACGUGUUAUGCCUACUUUGCGUAUAUAAAGGUACUCGCUACAUUUGGGAUUCCCAUGGCUGUCAUCUUUUACAACUAUAAAUGUUAUCGUCCUCUCCUCUCCAUGGCAAUUUUAUUGAAUCUUUACAGAGAUGUGAAUGUAGUAACUCUUUUUGACUGGUUUAUCUUUUGCAUUUCAUGUCAAAUUUGAAAGCUAUGGUUCUGAACCAAAAUUUAUGUUGGUCAUUAGCAUCAAUCCUAAGGUUGUUGGUGGUGAGUAAACUUAAUAUUCCUUUUCUCUCCUGCAGUUAGACAAAACCUCUCUCCCAUGCGGUUAAUGUUGAUGUAUUGAGUUUUACAAACAAAUAUAGCAUUCUCUUAACUAACUUCCCAUUAUGCAGGCCGUUUUUUAAAUACAACUUCUGGAACCCACAUCUAAUUUGUCUCAGACACAGCUGUCGGAAAAGAACACUGUGAAAAUUAUUUGGGGAUGUCUCAAACCAGACUGGCUCUUCAUCAAAGCUGCUUCAUGCCUAGAAAAUAGAACCUCUAAUCUGAGCUUAACCAAUGUGUUCUCACAUCUGAGCCACGGGUCAAAGUUACAUAAAUCAUUAUUUAAUCCUGAAAUUGUUGAUGCUAAUUGUUAUAGUCCUCUUACUGAUGACAGAUAAUUGAGAUUCUCUGCACCAUCAAAGUUACUGGUAUCCAGACAGAAUAAGAAUGGCGCUAUAUAGGUUGUUCAACAUGUUCAAAGAAACUUCAGAGAUAAAUUUCUUCUUUCACAUGCAUCGUAUGUGAUAAUACCAGCGCUGUAGGCGUUCUCAGGUAUCAAGUUGAGCUGUCUGUCUCAGACCAGACGGAUGAAACUUUCUUUGUGGCUUUUGAUGUGGAGAUGACUAAGUUAACCAACAUUCAAGCUGCUGAAGCCGACCAUAUUUUGGUA